GCAUAUCAAUAAGCGGAGGAAAAGAAACUAACAAGGAUUCCCCUAGUAACUGCGAGUGAAGAGGGAAAGCUCAAAUUUAAAAUCUGGCAGCUUUGGCUGUCCGAGUUGUAAUCUGGAGAAGUGUUUUCAGUGCAGGACCGUGUACAAGUCUCUUGGAAUGGAGCAUCAUAGAGGGUGAGAAUCCCGUCUUUGACACGGACUACCUGUGCUUUGUGAUACACUCUCAAAGAGUCGAGUUGUUUGGGAAUGCAGCUCAAAAUGGGUGGUAAAUUCCAUCUAAAGCUAAAUAUUGGCGAGAGACCGAUAGCGAACAAGUACCGUGAGGGAAAGAUGAAAAGCACUUUGGAAAGAGAGUUAAACAGUACGUGAAAUUGUUGAAAGGGAAACGCUUGGAGUCAGUCGCGUUUGUUAGAACUCAGCUUGGCUUCUGCUUAGUGUACUUUCUAAUGAACGGGCCAACAUCGAUUUCAGUCAGUGGAUAAGGGUAAGAGGAAUGUGGCACCUUCGGGUGUGUUAUAGCCUCUUAUCGUAUACAUUUACUGGGAUCGAGGUCUGCAGCACUUGUGCUUAGGAUGUUGGCAUAAUGGCUUUAAUCGACCCGUCUUGAAACACGGACCAAGGAGUCUAACAUGCCCGCGAGUGUUAGGGUGGUAAACCCUUGCGCGUAAUGAAAGUGAAAGUUGGGACCUCUGUCAUGGGGGGCACCGACGCCCGGUCCAGAACUUCUGUGACGGUACUGCGGUAGAGCGUGUAUGUUGGGACCCGAAAGAUGGUGAACUAUGCCUGAAUAGGGUGAAGCCAGAGGAAACUCUGGUGGAGGCUCGUAGCGAUUCUGACGUGCAAAUCGAUCGUCAAAUUUGGGUAUAGGGGCGAAAGACUAAUCGAACCAUCUAGUAGCUG
Molecule: ribosomal RNA, 900 nt
Filed under: Resinicium bicolor
Lineage: Eukaryota; Fungi; Basidiomycota; Agaricomycetes; Hymenochaetales
Description: LSU rRNA
Rfam family: Eukaryotic large subunit ribosomal RNA
Source: RNAcentral